RNAcentral lists this ribosomal RNA (603 nucleotides) under Nostoc sp. 'Stereocaulon tomentosum cyanobiont'. RNAcentral's name for it is "bacterial SSU rRNA". It matches the Rfam family "Bacterial small subunit ribosomal RNA", at positions 125 to 760 of the family's 1533-position model. The record is from RNAcentral. Lineage: Bacteria; Bacillati; Cyanobacteriota; Cyanophyceae; Nostocales; Nostocaceae.
UCUAGCUUUAGGUCUGGGACAACCACUGGAAACGGUGGCUAAUACCGGAUGUGCCGAGAGGUGAAAGGUUAACUGCCUGAAGAUGAGCUCGCGUCUGAUUAGCUAGUUGGUAGAGUAAAAGCCUACCAAGGCGACGAUCAGUAGCUGGUCUGAGAGGACGAUCAGCCACACUGGGACUGAGACACGGCCCAGACUCCUACGGGAGGCAGCAGUGGGGAAUUUUCCGCAAUGGGCGAAAGCCUGACGGAGCAAUACCGCGUGAGGGAGGAAGGCUCUUGGGUCGUAAACCUCUUUUCUUAGGGAAGAACAAAAUGACGGUACCUAAGGAAUAAGCAUCGGCUAACUCCGUGCCAGCAGCCGCGGUAAUACGGAGGAUGCAAGCGUUAUCCGGAAUGAUUGGGCGUAAAGCGUCCGCAGGUGGCGAUGAAAGUCUGCUGUUAAAGAGUCUAGCUCAACUAGAUAAAAGCAGUGGAAACUACAUAGCUAGAGUACGUUCGGGGCAGAGGGAAUUCCUGGUGUAGCGGUGAAAUGCGUAGAGAUCAGGAAGAACACCAGUGGCGAAGGCGCUCUGCUAGGCCGUAACUGACACUGAGGGACGAAAGC